AAGUCGUAACAAGGUUUCCGUAGGUGAACCUGCGGAAGGAUCAUUACAAUACGUUUUAACACGUAUCGACCCUAAACGUUGAACAGUCUUCGAGUCCGUUAGGUUUGGUUCUGGCUGAUUUCAGGCGGGAAACGUCUUUUUUGACGAACCCCAAGCAGGCCUUUAUGGCAGGCAAACGGGAUUGAAUCAAGAGAGAUGGUCAAAGUGCCUUGAAUCUGCUUUACCAAAGUCGUGCGAGCAUUCGUGCUCAAAUGACGCGGUAAGACCUCUCCUAGCACGCGAACUCUUUUCCCGAACUUUGACCCCUAUUUAUUAACCCUUAUCACCAAAAUUAUCAAAAAAUUGAACUUAACACGAUUCAUGCUUCGAAAGGAGCAAAUACGAAUCGACAAGAUACGAAACUUAAGAACAACUCUUAACAACGGAUAUCUUGGCUCUC
This 439-nucleotide unclassified non-coding RNA is filed under the name fungal sp. Its description in RNAcentral is "partial internal transcribed spacer region". The stretch from base 1 to 46 matches the Rfam family "Eukaryotic small subunit ribosomal RNA", at positions 1786 to 1831 of the family's 1831-position model. The record is from RNAcentral. Lineage: Eukaryota; Fungi.